CCUACGGGAGGCAGCAGUGAGGAAUAUUGGUCAAUGGACGAAAGUCUGAACCAGCCAAGUAGCGUGAGGGAAGACUGCCCUAUGGGUUGUAAACUUCUUUUAUGUGGGGAUAAAGGUGUCCACGUGUGGAUGUUUGUAGGUACCACAUGAAUAAGGAUCGGCUAACUCCGUGCCAGCAGCCGCGGUAAUACGGAGGGUCCGAGCGUUAUCCGGAUUUAUUGGGUUUAAAGGGAGCGUAGGCCGGUUUUUAAGACAGUUGUGAAAGUUUGUGGCUCAACCGUGAUAUUGCAGUUGAAACUGGAAACCUUGAGUACGGUAGAGGCGAGCGGAAUUCGUGGUGUAGCGGUGAAAUGCUUAGAUAUCACGAAGAACUCCGAUUGCGAAGGCAG
Molecule: ribosomal RNA, 389 nt
Filed under: uncultured bacterium
Lineage: Bacteria
Description: partial 16S ribosomal RNA
Rfam family: Bacterial small subunit ribosomal RNA
Source: RNAcentral